Molecule: ribosomal RNA, 472 nt
Filed under: uncultured bacterium
Lineage: Bacteria
Description: SSU rRNA
Rfam family: Bacterial small subunit ribosomal RNA
Source: RNAcentral
AGGAUAAACGCUGGCGGCGUGCAUGAGACAUGCAAGUCGAACGGACGAUCAGGGCUUGCUCUGAUCGUUAGUGGCGGACGGCUGAGUAACGCGUAGGUGACCUGCCCCGAAGUGGGGAAUAACUGCCCGAAAGGGUGGCUAAUACCGCAUGUGGUGGUGCCUUCACUGGCAUCAGUAAAGCCGCAAGGCGCUUCGGGAGGGGCCUGCGUCCGAUUAGCUCGUUGGUGGGGUAACGGCUCACCAAGGCGACGAUCGGUAGGUGGUCUGAGAGGACGAUCACCCAGACUGGGACUGAGACACGGCCCAGACUCCUACGGGAGGCAGCAGUCGGGAAUUUUUGCGCAAUGGACGAAAGUCUGACGCAGCAACGCCGCGUGAGGGAUGACGGCCUUCGGUUGUAAACCUCUUUGUCAGGGACGAUGAUGACGGUACCUGACGAAUAAGUCACGGCUAACUACGUGCCAGCAGCCGC